Molecule: non-coding RNA, 2264 nt
Organism: Paramormyrops kingsleyae
Lineage: Eukaryota; Metazoa; Chordata; Actinopteri; Osteoglossiformes; Mormyridae
Source: RefSeq, a predicted model, not a curated record
UAUGUAUAGUAAAUAACACGCGCAUUAGAGUAAGUUUUCCGUGAAAUUAAAUCAAGACAUCCACGAUCUGCACGGCUUCUGAGGAAUGUCGUUCCUCGCAGGCUUUGCCCACAAACGGACUCACACGGUGGCGCCUUUCACGCUGCCUGAUUAGAAACACCGUAUGUCUUUUGCAUGCACCCUAGCGAAAACAGCAAUUAAUCUAUAGUUCGACUUUUUCCACUUCUUUGCAAGUCUGAAUGCUAAAUGCGUUGCAUUUAGACGUCAAGUACAUAACCACGUAUAAGUAAAUUCACAGGCGGCUCACGAACGAUACUCCUGAGGGGUCCCAUGGCUUGAAGAUUUGGGUACCCGCUGUAGGCUUUACUGUGAAAAAAUAAAAACAAAAACAGAAAAAUAAGGAAAUGGCAGACGAACGUGACCUAGAAAGACAAGCUGUGGAGGAGCUUCUGCAGGAGGCUGGGAGAGGCAGAGUACGAGCCCAGACCAUGGGACCGGCGGGCUGGAUGAGGUGCCCCCUCCGUGGAGCUAACAAGAGGUUCCUGCUGAACACUCUUCGCACAAUCAGCAGGCCAGGUCGGAGCCUGAGGCCACGACACAGCGACCAAUCAGGGAUUCAAAUACAGGAGGUGGAGCAAAAAUCUAAGUCACUCCAAUCCGGAGAAGCUCAGCACUCAAGGUCUAGAGGCCGGUCUCCCUCUGGGCAGCACAGCAGGGGGCACUCACGUUCUCCUGUUAAGGGUUCGAACUGCAGUUUGAAGUCAUCAAGCCCAACCCCUAAGCCAUUAGACUCCACCAAGCCCCGUUACUCCCAUCCUAAAUCCCGGCCACAAGGAUGUACUGAUCUUCAGGAGUGACCUCAGGUGUGCGUGUGCAAGUGUGUCUAUGUGUGUGUGGGCGUCUGUUUGCUUCAUUAUAGCUGUAUAGUAUUUUGAACCCACAACCUUGAAAUAAGUUUUAAUAAAAACAUAUUUUUAAGCUUCGUAGAUAAAGAGAAGAAAUAAGGAUUUUGAGGUGUGAUUGUGCAGAAGUCUACUGGAGCAUUUAGUGUGACUGUGGGCUCUGAGGUAUAGCUGGAUGGUCUCCUAUCUAGGGAAGAGCUCAGUGUGACUGUGAGCUUAGAGGUACAGCAGGACUAUCUCCCAUCUAGGGAAGAGCUGACUGUGAGCUUAGAGGUACAACUGGACUAUCUAUCAUCUAGGGAAGAGCUCAGUGUGACUAUGAGGUUAGAGGUACAGCUGUACUAUCUCCCAUCUAGGGAAGAGGGCAGUAUGACUGUGGCCUCAGAGGUACAGCUGUAUAGAUUUAGGUUUUUCUCAUUUUGUAUGAUCUUGGGUCCUGUGGUGCCCAUAAUUAUAUUCCUUAUAAUUAUUAAGCAUAACUAUAUGCUUAAUGAGCCAGGGUUAACUGGACUGUUCAUUGUUUAUAAUGAUAAUUCAUAAAGUAAGUAAUUUUAAUAAAGGACUGGCCUGUCCCUACUGCUGUAGUUUGUGGCCUCGUACACACAGGGGUGCUGGGUUUGCAGCACUUUAAGUUCUCAGUGGUUGAAUGUGGAGGACACUGCAGCAAGGUGGGGUGUGUCUGAGGCAUGGCGUGAAGAGUAGAGCUGCCUUGAAGGACUGGCAAGUGAAGCUGAGUUAACUGAGAGGAUCUUGUCCAGAGUUGCAGGCUCUGGACGUGUGGAGCCAAACGUAUGAUUAAUGGCAUGGAGUUUGCAGCCCUCCUGCAACAAGGUUAUUCCCAUUAAAGUGUCGUUAGCAUUCCGCAGGGGUUAGUCUCUUUCUUGGACAUAUUUACACAGCCAGUACUCUGUCGCCACUGGAAGGGCGGAUUUAUCGCGGCUCAGACUCUUUGCGACACUUCCCCUGUUAUCAGGACCAUUGAGCUGGGCUGUGGGAAGUGAGCCGGACUGGGCCUGGUGCUGCUCAGAAUGGCAGUCCUGCCAUUGUUACUGUCUCUGUACUUCAGAGUAGGCGACAGACAUAUACAGAAUUAGCUUUGUCAGAGAGAACCUAUUUCACUUUCUUUAAAAAUGUAAAAAUUAUAUUUAAAAUUUUAUUUCAUGAACUAAAGGUGUUCUGUGUGAAUAACGAUUUUAAUUAUUUAAUAUAUAAGCGGUCCACAAAUCAUUGACUAAAAUUUUUUAAAGAAAUAUCUAUAAAAUAAAGCCGUUGUUCCUUUUUUGGUUACUUUUGUGGGGUAUGUGUCUCAAUGACAAUGAGUCAUAUCAUCUUACUAAGACAUUAAAUAUGUAUUUUACAAGA